Molecule: ribosomal RNA, 332 nt
Filed under: uncultured prokaryote
Description: bacterial SSU rRNA
Rfam family: Bacterial small subunit ribosomal RNA
Source: RNAcentral
AGAACGAACGCUGGCGGUCGUGUCCUAACACAUGCAAGUCCAACGGUGAAAGGGGAGGCAAUCCCCCGGUAGGGUGGCAAAACGGGUGAGUAAUACAUAGGGUGAUCUACCUUAGGGAUGGGGAUAUCCUUCCGAAAGGAGGGGCAAUACCGAAUAUUGUUCCGGAGCCGUGAAGGGUUCCGGGGAAAGGGAGGCCGUCUGACACAAGCUUUCGCCUUAAGAUGAGCCCAUGGCCCAUCAGCUAGUUGGUAGGGUAAAGGCCUUACCAAGGCUACGACGGGUCGCUGGUCUGAGAGGACGUACCAGCCGACACUGGCACUGAGAUACGGGCC